GAUGAACGCUGGCGGCGUGCCUAAUACAUGCAAGUCGAGCGAACGGACGAGAAGCUUGCUUUUCUGAUGUUAGCGGCGGACGGGUGAGUAACACGUGGAUAACCUACCUAUAAGACUGGGAUAACUACGGGAAACCGGAGCUAAUACCGGAUAAUAUUUUGAACCGCAUGGUUCAAAAGUGAAUGUCGGUCUUGCUGUAACUUAUAGAUGGAUCCGCGCUGCAUUAGCUAGUUGGUAAGGUAACGGCUUACCAAGGCAACGAGGCAUAGCCGACCUGAGAGGGUGGUCGGCCACACUGGAACUGAGACACGGUCCAGACUCCUACGGGAGGCAGCAGUAGGGAAUCUUCCGCAGUGGGCGAAAGCCUUACGGAGCAACGCCGCGUGAGUGAUGAAGGUCUUCGGAUCGUAAAGCUCUGUUAUUAGGGAAGAACAUAUGUGUAAGUAACUGUGCACAUCUUGACGGUACCUAAUCAGAAAGCCACGGCUAACUACGUG
Molecule: ribosomal RNA, 497 nt
Filed under: uncultured bacterium
Lineage: Bacteria
Description: partial 16S ribosomal RNA
Rfam family: Bacterial small subunit ribosomal RNA
Source: RNAcentral